GACGAACGCUGGCGGCGUGCUUAACACAUGCAAGUCGAACGGAAAGGCCCUGCUUUUGUGGGGUGCUCGAGUGGCGAACGGGUGCGUAACACGUGAGUAACCUGCCCUUGACUUUGGGAUAACUUCAGGAAACUGGGGCUAAUACCGGAUAGGAGCUCCUGCUGCAUGGUGGGGGUUGGAAAGUUUCGGCGGUUGGGGUUGGACUCGCGGCUUAUCAGCUUGUUGGUGGGGUAGUGGCUUACCAAGGCUUUGACGGGUAGCCGGCCUGAGAGGGGGGACGGCCACAUUGGGACUGAGGGACGGCCCAGAGUCCAACAGUGGGCAGCAGUGGGGAAUAUUGCACAAUGGGCGGAAGCCGGAGGCAGCAACGCCGCGUGCGGGAUGACGGCCUUCGGGUUGUAAACCGCUUUCGCCUGUGACGAAGCGUGAGUGACGGUAAUGGGUAAAGAAGCACCGGCUAACUACGUG
This 468-nucleotide ribosomal RNA is filed under the name uncultured bacterium. RNAcentral's name for it is "partial 16S ribosomal RNA". It matches the Rfam family "Bacterial small subunit ribosomal RNA", at positions 28 to 507 of the family's 1533-position model. The record is from RNAcentral.